AUUGAACGCUGGCGGCAUGCCUUACACAUGCAAGUCGAACGGCAGCACGGGUGCUUGCACCUGGUGGCGAGUGGCGAACGGGUGAGUAAUGCAUCGGAACGUAUCCGGAAGUGGGGGAUAACGUAGCGAAAGUUACGCUAAUACCGCAUAUUCUGUGAGCAGGAAAGCAGGGGGACCGCAAGGCCUUGCGCUUUCGGAGCGGCCGAUGUCGGAUUAGCUAGUUGGUGGGGUAAAGGCCUACCAAGGCGACGAUCCGUAGCGGGUCUGAGAGGAUGAUCCGCCACACUGGGACUGAGACACGGCCCAGACUCCUACGGGAGGCAGCAGUGGGGAAUUUUGGACAAUGGGCGCAAGCCUGAUCCAGCCAUGCCGCGUGAGUGAAGAAGGCC
This 389-nucleotide ribosomal RNA is filed under the name uncultured bacterium. RNAcentral's name for it is "bacterial SSU rRNA". It matches the Rfam family "Bacterial small subunit ribosomal RNA", at positions 29 to 416 of the family's 1533-position model. The record is from RNAcentral.